Molecule: ribosomal RNA, 253 nt
Filed under: uncultured bacterium
Lineage: Bacteria
Description: partial 16S ribosomal RNA
Rfam family: Bacterial small subunit ribosomal RNA
Source: RNAcentral
UACGGAGGGGGCUAGCGUUGUUCGGAAUUACUGGGCGUAAAGCGCACGUAGGCGGCUUUGUAAGUUAGAGGUGAAAGCCCAGGGCUCAACCCUGGAAUUGCCUUUAAGACUGCAUCGCUAGAAUUGUGGAGAGGUAAGUGGAAUUCCGAGUGUAGAGGUGAAAUUCGUAGAUAUUCGGAAGAACACCAGUGGCGAAGGCGACUUACUGGACACAUAUUGACGCUGAGGUGCGAAGGCGUGGGGAGCAAACAGG